AUAUCGUCGGCAUGGAAGUCGGACUCUCUAACCAGAAGGCUGAAACCCAGGGCUCUGACAUUGUGACCAGAGAAUCCUUUUGAGCUGUUGGGAAUGAGGUUUACUAACUACAUAUGCACAGCGACACCUGCUGGCCUCCGUU
Long non-coding RNA from Thalassophryne amazonica, 142 nucleotides. RefSeq lists it as uncharacterized. NCBI's taxonomy places the organism in Eukaryota, Metazoa, Chordata, Actinopteri, Batrachoidiformes, Batrachoididae. The record is from RefSeq and is a predicted model, not a curated record. The transcript is spliced from 2 exons.